Molecule: long non-coding RNA, 228 nt
Filed under: Mytilus galloprovincialis (Mediterranean mussel)
Lineage: Eukaryota; Metazoa; Mollusca; Bivalvia; Mytilida; Mytilidae
Source: RNAcentral
AUUUUUUUUGUUUUUGCUUUAGAGCAAUUCACUCUGCUGUUGAAUAUUAAUCUCUCCAAAAAAAAAAAAUAUUUGAAGAAAUUUUAUUUUUAUUUUUUUGAAAUCUGAAAUGAGAAAAAUUGGCCCCGCUCCCCUCCAUUUUUUUUUACCUCCUCCUUUCCCUUAUUCCAAAAAUGAUCUCAAUUCAAAUUUUUAAUGGAGUUUUCAACAAUGACUACUCAUUUAAAU